Molecule: ribosomal RNA, 497 nt
Filed under: uncultured bacterium
Lineage: Bacteria
Description: partial 16S ribosomal RNA
Rfam family: Bacterial small subunit ribosomal RNA
Source: RNAcentral
GAUGAACGCUGGCGGCGUGCCUAAUACAUGCAAGUCGAGCGAACGGACGAGAAGCUUGCUUUUCUGAUGUUAGCGGCGGACGGGUGAGUAACACGUGGAUAACCUACCUAUAAGACUGGGAUAACUUCGGGAAACCGGAGCUAAUACCGGAUAAUAUUUUGAACCGCAUGGUUCAAAAGUGAAAGACGGUCUUGCUGUCACUUAUAGAUGGAUCCGCGCUGCAUUAGCUAGUUGGUAAGGUAACGGCUUACCAAGGCAACGAUGCAUAGCCGACCUGAGAGGGUGAUCGGCCACACGGGAACUGAGACACGGUCCAGACUCCUACGGGAGGCAGCAGUAGGGAAUCGUCCGCAAUGGGCGAAAGCCUGACGGAGCAACGCCGCGUGAGUGAUGAAGGUCUUCGGAUCGUAAAACUCUGUUAUUAGGGAAGAACAUAUGUGUAAGUAACUGUGCACAUCUUGACGGUACCUAAUCAGAAAGCCACGGCUAACUACGUG